RNAcentral lists this long non-coding RNA (296 nucleotides) under Nicotiana benthamiana. RNAcentral describes it as "long non-coding RNA (NBEN_LNC005866)". The record is from RNAcentral. Lineage: Eukaryota; Viridiplantae; Streptophyta; Magnoliopsida; Solanales; Solanaceae.
UCAAAUUGAGCAAAAACAAUACAAUAAAAAAGAAGAGCUCAAAUUCUUCACCACAAUUCCAAUUAAAAAAUCAGUUUAAAAUUUUAGCGUUUUAUCUCAUGAAACACAGCAAAACCUGCUGCCAAAUACUAUUAAAACCAGCAGAAAAAACCAAUCUUUUGGCAUUUCAAAUCUGAGUGAAAACAGUACAAAAAGGGGGCUCCGAUGGGGUCACAAUUGAGUUCCGACGAAGCUGUCCGUCGACAACUUUUUUCUUUGGCGCAAAGCCACCGUAAGCAAAAGGUGUAUUGAAGGUU